UUGUAUGCCCGUCUGCAUUUCCUAGCUCA
This 29-nucleotide non-coding RNA is filed under the name Mus musculus (house mouse). Lineage: Eukaryota; Metazoa; Chordata; Mammalia; Rodentia; Muridae. The record is from RNAcentral.